CCGGCGACCGGCGCACGGGUGAGUAACACGUAUGCAACCUGGCCGUCACAGGGGGAUAACCGGUAGAAAUGCCGCCUAAUACCCCAUGACACCCUUUAGGGACAUCCCUGGGGGGUCAAAGGGAGCGAUCCCGGUGGUGGAUGGGCAUGCGGCGCAUUAGCUAGUCGGCGGGGUAACGGCCCACCGAGGCGACGAUGCGUAGGGGUUCUGAGAGGAAGGUCCCCCACACUGGUACUGAGACACGGACCAGACUCCUACGGGAGGCAGCAG
RNAcentral lists this ribosomal RNA (270 nucleotides) under uncultured bacterium. RNAcentral describes it as "partial 16S ribosomal RNA". It matches the Rfam family "Bacterial small subunit ribosomal RNA", at positions 88 to 354 of the family's 1533-position model. The record is from RNAcentral.